GUGCAUAUAGCUCAGUUGGAAGAGCAGCCGGCUCUUAACCGACAGGUUCCGGGUUCGAGGCCCGGUGUGCGCA
RNAcentral lists this transfer RNA (73 nucleotides) under Enterocloster asparagiformis. Its description in RNAcentral is "tRNA-Lys". It matches the Rfam family "tRNA". Rfam says of the family: Transfer RNA (tRNA) molecules are approximately 80 nucleotides in length. Their secondary structure includes four short double-helical elements and three loops (D, anti-codon, and T loops). RNAcentral also lists the same sequence under 1 other name. Lineage: Bacteria; Bacillati; Bacillota; Clostridia; Lachnospirales; Lachnospiraceae. The record is from RNAcentral.